Molecule: ribosomal RNA, 485 nt
Filed under: uncultured bacterium
Lineage: Bacteria
Description: bacterial SSU rRNA
Rfam family: Bacterial small subunit ribosomal RNA
Source: RNAcentral
CGCCUUAUACUCCUACGGGAGGCAGCAGUGGGGAAUUUUGGACAAUGGGCGCAAGCCUGAUCCAGCAAUGCCGCGUGCAGGAAGAAGGCCUUCGGGUUGUAAACUGCUUUUGUGCGGAACGAAACGGUCUGGGUUAAUACCCUGGGCUAAUGACGGUACCGUAAGAAUAAGCACCGGCUAACUACGUGCCAGCAGCCGCGGUAAUACGUAGGGUGCAAGCGUUAAUCGGAAUUACUGGGCGUAAAGCGUGCGCAGGCGGUUUUGUAAGACAGUCGUGAAAUCCCCGGGCUCAACCUGGGAAUGGCGAUUGUGACUGCAAAGCUGGAGUGCGGCAGAGGGGGAUGGAAUUCCGCGUGUAGCAGUGAAAUGCGUAGAUAUGCGGAGGAACACCGAUGGCGAAGGCAAUCCCCUGGGCCUGCACUGACGCUCAUGCACGAAAGCGUGGGGAGCAAACAGGAUUAGAUACCCUAGUAGUCCACGUACCA